This is a long non-coding RNA of Octopus bimaculoides (California two-spot octopus), 2930 nucleotides long. RefSeq lists it as uncharacterized. NCBI's taxonomy places the organism in Eukaryota, Metazoa, Mollusca, Cephalopoda, Octopoda, Octopodidae. The record is from RefSeq and is a predicted model, not a curated record.
ACUUCCACCACAGAAAAUUCUACAUUUAAUGCUAAACUCUGCUACUACAGCUACCAUCAACACAAUUAAAAAUAAGCAUAUAAAAAAGCCAAUAAGAGAACCUCUAAGUGGUUAUAUGACCUGCUAGAUGUAGCAGCCAAACCUCUCAAAUCACACUUUCCUUUCUUAAAAAUGGAAGGAAUACAUUGUUCGGUACUACCAUCAAAAACGAUGGGGGUUGUCAUUAUUGGAAUAAUGCUUUUGAUCAGAGGUUUGCUUUAUCAGGAUUAACUUGGAACUAAACCAUAACAACAACAAUCAAGACAAAUAACACUUGAUUAGACCCCUAAAUGAAAGGACUUAUUUAUUGAUUAUUUACAAGACAUAUAAACAUUACAGUCUGUAGAUCUUAAUGUAAAGCUAGAAAUCAAUAAAUUCAAUGUAUCUGUAAACUAGGAGGUUUAAUGAUACCACAGCAGUAGUUUUGCCUUUUACUACUUACAAAUUUACUUACUCAAUUAUUUUACCAAGUAUGAGCAUGGGAACGGAUCAAUGAAUAAUUAAACAGUAAGAGUAAUAGCAGUAUUAGUAGAAAGUUUAAGGAGUAAUGCGGGUAACAGACACGAAAACAAAACCGAAACAAAACACUCGUGUUGAAAAGCUCACACCGUGUACACACAAACAAGUCAAACUAUGAAAGAUUGACGUCAUUGCAACAGAAAAACCAAGCAAACACAAGCAGAAUAUCUAGCAGUACCCACCUCCAAGGCGUUUGGGAGGGAGAGUGAUAGGUUAGCAUACAAGAUCAUCAAGUAAUUAUAUUUUAGAGAUUAAAAAGAAGGUAGUGAGAGAGAUAGAAGGGGAGAGAGAAAUAGAAAGAGAGAGAGAGAGAGAUCGUAAGUACGUGUGAAAAAAAGAAAGGAAAAUAGGAAGAAAACAAAAGUUGGAAUGAAAAACAGAAAAAGUAAACAAAAGGCUAACAAUGGAAAAAAAACGUAAAACAAAGAUGGAGUUGGAUGGUGUUUAUUUGAGGCAGAUUUUCUAUGGCCAGUUGCCUUUCCUGUCACCAACACUUACCAGUUUCCAAGGAAAGUAAUAUUUCCCCAUUGCCAAACAUGUUCUCACAGAAUAUUGGAAAUGAAUGACACUGCUUAUAUGACAGUGACACUCAUUUACAGCUAUCAUGCAAUGUCAAGACAAAGAGACACAAAUACACACACAUAUAGACAAACAUAUAUACAAUAGGCUUCUUUCUGUUUUUGUCUACCAGUCAGCUAAAUCCACUGACAUGGCUUUGGUCAGUCCAGGUCUACUGUAAAAGACACUUGUCUGAAGUGCUAAGCAGUGGGACUGAACCUGGAACCAGUGAUUGGGAAACAAGCUUCUUAUCACACAGCCAAACCUGCAACCAUAUAUGCAAUGCAAAAAGAGGGAUAGCAAUAAUGGAGAGAGAGAGAGAGAGAGUAGAGAGGGAAAGAGAAAGAUUAAAAUAUUCCUUUCCUCUUCACGUUAUCUGAAAUAAAUUAAUAAAUUUGAAUAAAUUUAUAUUGUAUAGAGAAACUAGUACAUUCAGGUUUUUGGUAAAACUUCAUUAACUUUUAGUGUUGUACUUGUCAAACAAGUAACUUGAUUUGAAAUGGUGAGUUGAAAGUGAAACAUUUUCAUCAUUGAAGAGCAAGUUUUGCAAUCUUUUAACUCACAAAAUCUGUCAGAUUCACUUUCCAUGUAUUUUUUUAAAUAACAAAAUAUUUGUCACUGGCUUAAUUCUACUCUUACUAACUAGCUUUACAAAAUGGUUAUAGGCUAGGAAUUUUAAGAACUUUGUAAUAAGUAACAAAAAAUCAAAAUGAGAAUUAAAUAUGCACAAGUAUAGUUGUGUGGUAAGAAGUUUGCUUCCCAGCUACAUGGUUCUGAGGUCAGUCUGACUGUGUAACACACCGGACAAGUGACUUUUACUAUAGCCUCGGCCUGACUAAAGCCUUGUGAGUGGAUUUGGUAGACAGAAAAUGAAAGAAGCCUGUUGCAUAUAUAUAUACACAUACAUUAGGAGUCCACUUAGCCCGGCCUAAUUGAUAUUUGAAACCAAAUCUACACACUUGUUCCUUGUCAGACAACUAUCUGAUUCCUUUCAGUUUUAUUUCCACACUGGGUGAUUAAUGAGAAACACCUGACCCCCAGAGACCAUUGCUAGUCAUGGAAGGCUCAGUCUGUUGAUUUAGGUUUUAUUUAUUUCUGGGCCAUACCUAUAUAACUGAGACAAUCUCUCUCUCUCUAUCUCUCUCUCUCUCUCUCUCUCUCUUUGGUUGACAAACCUCCAACUGGGAGCAAUUAGCUUCUUGCACAGCAUAGCAUCAGCUGAAUGGAAAGGAACAACGUAAACCUUUCUUCCUCUCUGUCAGCUGAAUGCACAAAUCACACACUGCCAACUACCAGCAAGUCAUCAACACAUCAUUGCUAUUGUCAAUUACAACUAUGAAUAUUUGAUAUUUAACAUAGGUGCAGGAGUGGCUGUGUGGUAAGUAGCUUGCUACAUGGUUCCGGGUUCAGUCUCACUGCGUGGCAUCUUGGACAAAUGUCUUCUACUAUAGCCUCGGGCCGACCAAAGCCUUGUGAGUGGAUUUGGUAGACGGAAACUGAAAGAAGCCUGUCAUAUAUGUGUGUGUGUGUAUAUAUAUAUUUUUUUUUUUUUUUGUGUGUGUGUGUGUGUGUGUUUGUGUGAUGUGUCUGUGUUUGUACCCCUAGCAUUGCUUGACAACCGAUGCUGGUGUGUUUAUGUCCACGUCACUUAGCGGUUCGGCCAAAGAGACCGAUAGAAUAAGUACUAGGCUUACAAAGAAUAAGUCCCGGGGUUGACUUGCUCAACUAAAGGCAGUGCUCCAGCAUGGCUGCAGUCAAAUGACUGAAACAAGUAAAAGAGUAACCACUGUUGGCAAAUAAAUUUGUGAAUGUUA